CGACCGCUGGCGGCGUGCUUACCACAUGCACGUCGACCGGCAAGGCCCUGCUUUUGUGGGGUGCUCGAGUGGCGAACGGAUGAGUAACACGUGAGUAACCUGCCCUUGACUUUGGGAUAACUUCAGGAAACUGGGGCUAAUACCGGAUAGGAGCUCCUGCCGCAUGGUGGGGGUUGGAAAGUUUCGGCGGUUGGGGAUGGACUCGCGGCUUAUCAGCUUGUUGGUGGGGUAGUGGCUUACCAAGGCUUUGACGGGUAGCCGGCCUGAGAGGGUGACCGGCCACAUUGGGACUGAGAUACGGCCCAGACUCCUACGGGAGGCAGCAGUGGGGAAUAUUGCACAAUGGGCGGAAGCCUGAUGCAGCAACGCCGCGUGCGGGAUGACGGCCUUCGGGUUGUAAACCGCUUUCGCCUGUGACGAAGCGUGAGUGACGGUAAUGGGUAAAGAAGCACCGGCUAACUACGUG
This 466-nucleotide ribosomal RNA is filed under the name uncultured bacterium. RNAcentral describes it as "partial 16S ribosomal RNA". It matches the Rfam family "Bacterial small subunit ribosomal RNA", at positions 30 to 507 of the family's 1533-position model. The record is from RNAcentral.